Molecule: ribosomal RNA, 435 nt
Filed under: uncultured bacterium
Lineage: Bacteria
Description: partial 16S ribosomal RNA
Rfam family: Bacterial small subunit ribosomal RNA
Source: RNAcentral
AACGAACGCUGGCGGCAGGCUUAACACAUGCAAGUCGAACGCGUGCAGCAAUGCACGAGUGGCGCACGGGUGAGUAACGAGUGGAUAUCUGCCUUUUGGUUCGGAAUAACCCCGGGAAACUGGGGCUAAUACCGGAUGGUUCCUACGGGAUAAAGAUUCAUCGCCAAAAGAUGAGUCCGCGUCCGAUUAGCUAGUUGGUGAGGUAAUGGCUCACCAAGGCGACGAUCGGUAGCUGGUCUGAGAGGACGAUCAGCCACACUGGGACUGAGACACGGCCCAGACUCGUACGGGAGGCAGCAGUAGGGAAUAUUAGAGAAUGGAGGCAGCUCUGGUCCAGCCAGGCCGGGUGAGUGAUGAAGGCCUUCGGGUUGUAAAGCUCUUUUGGCGGGGACGAUGGUGACGGUACCCGCAGAAUAAGCCCCGGCUAACUUCGUG